AAUGUUUUCAUUUCAUACCAAACGCACCACUGUACUCUCUCCUCUCUCCUCUCCCCUCCCCUUUACCCCUAAACCCUAAGCCGCCGUCCCACUUUUAUCUUCUCUUUUAUGCCAAAAAUGGCAGUGCUGCACGAAGUACAAGGUUUUGCAGUCGUGUACCCCCCUUUUCCAAGCUAACAAUAAAUGCUUCCAUCCCAUUUCCACCUUAUAUCAUCCAAACACGAUUAUACGCCUUUUUCUUUUACUUUUCCUCUUAAAUUUUGAGUCAAAGAUUUGAUUUUCUGUGUUAUAUUUGUUGUAUUGUCACUGUACGUCCUUGUUCCUCAUUGGUCUAAUUCAAACCAACUGGAUCGAGAGAGAUCAGGCUCAAAUCAAGCCAUUCGUUGUUAGCAAGGGUCAAUCUAGACCCUAUAAUUCAUUUUUUCAAGUUUUUUUCUGAAAAAUCUCACUUUGUACCACAUCGUUGGUUCUAGGGUUUUGAUAGUUUUUGGGGCUCGAUAAAUAGAAUGCCAACCCUCACCAUUCAAAAAGCACAAGGCUCUUAAUUCGAUCUUGUUCGCGGCUGCACAUCAAAAAGUCCGUUGAUGACAACAGGUGGUAGCUGGAAAAAGACAAAGAAGAAAUAGUCAUACAGAAGCCUUUUCUUUCUUUACUGCAACUUCGAUCGGGACAACCCACUAUUUUGAAUUUCAAGGUGUUAUUCUACUGGAGUUCUAAGGAAAAGAAGACCAGCUCCCAGCAAAAGAGAAAGCUGAUGAAUCUUCUUCCACUCCCCAACCUCUAAGGAGUCGUAGAGCAAUGUCUUUAUUGGCGGUUGCGCAACCUUCGAUUGAAGCAACUUCUGCGGAUUGCGACAGCACCUGGCCUUGGAUCAAGGCUCUCACUCGCUCAAGACGUCGAUGCGCCACCGGGUUGACCCUUUUCUUACCAGCAUGGGGAGUUGCGAUGGAUGCCAAGAUGAAGACUCCUCAGCGCCAAUUAGGGGUACAAGAGAUAGUUGGAUCAAGCUGCAUCAGGUUAAUGGCAACUUACACAGUGGUAAUGGAAAAAUGGCAGCUUGCUGGGGUGGGAAUUAAUCUCGGAAGAAGAAGAAGAGGGUGGGUAGGUGGGUGAGAGGGAAGGGAAGGGGUGGGGGGCGGGGGCGGGUGUAGAAAAUAGUUUUUUGUUUCUUUUCUUUUUUAUUUUGGCUGCAUUUUUUAAUUAACUAAAGUUUUGAAAUAAUUUUUCUACUCAUUUUUUUUAAUAAUUAUUUUGAUAUAUAUGCCACAUGUCUUCAUUUAAUUUUCCUCUUUGACAUGUCAUCGACGAGUGUGUUACGCUCACUUUACAUAUUUGAUCAAAAAUUGUCUAAUUGGAACAAAUUUAGGGUAGUCUAAGCACUCAAAUGGAACACCACUAAGUUCAGAUGUCCAAGUGAAAAAUCUUAUCAACUUCAAGUGUCUCCCGAUGGGUUCAGCCAAUGACAAAUAAGUAGAGAGUAUUGCAUGUUUCAUGUUGCAUCAUAUGAGACUAUACAUCCAGCUAAAGAAUAUAGUGCCUUUUCGUCUUU
This is a long non-coding RNA of Lycium barbarum (goji berry), 1549 nucleotides long. RefSeq lists it as uncharacterized. Lineage: Eukaryota; Viridiplantae; Streptophyta; Magnoliopsida; Solanales; Solanaceae. The transcript is spliced from 5 exons. The record is from RefSeq and is a predicted model, not a curated record.